This 458-nucleotide ribosomal RNA is filed under the name uncultured bacterium. Its description in RNAcentral is "partial 16S ribosomal RNA". It matches the Rfam family "Bacterial small subunit ribosomal RNA", at positions 338 to 795 of the family's 1533-position model. The record is from RNAcentral.
CCUACGGGGGCAGCAGUGAGGAAUAUUGGUCAAUGGGCGGGAGCCUGAACCAGCCAAGCCGCGUGAGGGAAGAAGGUACAGCGUAUCGUAAACCUCUUUUGUCAGGGAACAAAGGCGUGGACUAGUCCCCGGAUGAGGGUACCUGAAGAAAAAGCAUCGGCUAACCCCGUGCCAGCAGCCGCGGUAAUACGGGGGAUGCGAGCGUUAUCCGGAUUUAUUGGGGUUAAAGGGUGCGCAGGCGGCCUGUUAAGUCAGCGGUAAAAGCCCGGGGCUCAACCCCGGCGAGCCGUUGAAACUGGCGGGCUCGAGUUGGAGAGAAGUACGCGGAAUGCGCGGUGUAGCGGUGAAAUGCUUAGAUAUCGCGCAGAACCCCGAUUGCGAAGGCAGCGUACCGGCUCCACACUGACGCUGAGGCACGAAAGCGUGGGUAUCGAACAGGAUUAGAUACCCUAGUAGUC